RNAcentral lists this transfer RNA (69 nucleotides) under Marmota marmota marmota (Alpine marmot). It matches the Rfam family "tRNA". From Rfam's summary of the family: Transfer RNA (tRNA) molecules are approximately 80 nucleotides in length. The record is from Rfam by way of RNAcentral. Lineage: Eukaryota; Metazoa; Chordata; Mammalia; Rodentia; Sciuridae. RNAcentral also lists the same sequence under 1 other name.
GGAGCUGUAGCUCAGUGGAACAGCAUUUGCCUGCAACACAUAAGGCACUGGGUUCGAUCCCCAGCACCA